This 145-nucleotide unclassified non-coding RNA is filed under the name soil metagenome. RNAcentral's name for it is "partial internal transcribed spacer 1". The record is from RNAcentral.
UAAUAAGUGUUUUAUGGCACUUUUUAAAUCCAUAUUCACCUUGUGUGCAAUGUCAGUCGAUCUUCUUCAUGGAGAUCGACCAAACAUCAACCUUUAUUUUUUAACUCUUUGUCUGAAAAAUAUUAUGAAUAAACAAUUCAAAAUA